UACCUGGUUGACCCUGCCAGUAGCAUGUGCUUGUCUCAAAGAUUAAGCCAUGCAUGUCUAAGUACGCACGCCGGUCCAGUGAAACUGCGAAUGGCUCAUUAAAUCAGUUAUGGUUCCUUUGGUCGCUCGCUCCUCUCCUACUUGGCCUACUGUGGUAAUUCUAGAGCUAAUACAUGGUGACGGGGGCUGAUCCCCCUGGGGGGAAUGCGUGCAUUUAUCAGAUCAAAACCAACCCGAACAGCCUCCCCUCAAUCCCUCGCUGGCCGAGGGGGUGGGUGCUGGCGGCUUGGGUGACUCUAGAUAACCUCUGGCCGAUUGCAUGCCCCCCGUGGUGGCGACGACCCAUUUGGAAGUCUGCCUUAUCAACUUUCGAUGGUAGUCGCCAUGCCUACCAUGGUGACCACAAGUGACGGGGAAUCAGGGUUUGAUUCUAGAGAGGGAGCCUGAGAAACAGCUACCACAUCCAAGGAAGGCAGCAGGCGUGCAAAUUACCCACUCCCGACCUGGGGAGGUAGUGACGAAAAAUAGCCAUACAGGAGUCUUUCGAGGCCCUGUAAUUGGAAUGAGUCCACUUUAAACCCUUUAGUGAGGAUCCAUUGGAGGACAAGUCUGGUGUCAGCAGCCACGGUAAUUCCAGCUCCAAUAGGGUAUAUUAGAGUUGCUGCAGUUAAAAAGUUCGUAGUUGGAUCUUGAGAGCGGUUGGGCGGUCUACCGCGAGGCGAGCCACCGCCCGUCCCCACCCCUUUUCUCUUGGCACCCCCUCGAUGCUCUUAGCUGAGUGUCCCUCAGGGCCCGAAGUGUUUACUUUGAAAAAGAGUGUUCAAUGCAGGCCCGAGCUGCCUGGAUACACAACUAGGAAUAAUGGAAUAAGACCUCGGUUCUAUUUUGUUGGUUUUCGGAACUGAGGCCAUGAUUAAGAGGGACUCCCAGGGGCAUUCAUAUUGCGCCGUUGGAGGUGAAAUUCUUGGACCGGUGUAAGACAGACCAGAGCAAAGGCAUUUGCCAAGAAUGUUUUCAUUAAUCAAGAAUGAAAGAUGGAUGUUCGAAGAUGAUCAGAUACCAUCAUAGUUCCAAACAUAAAGGAUGCCGACUGGGUUAUUCCCGUGACCCGCCGGGCAGCUUCUGGGAAACCAAAGUCUUUGGGUUCCGGGGGGAGUAUGGUUGCAAUGCUUAAACUUAAAGGAAUUGACAGAAGGGCACCACCAGGAGUGGAGCCUGUGGCUUAAUUUGACUCAACACGGGAAACCUCACCCGGUCCGGACGCAGACAGGAUUGACAGAUUGAGAGCUCUUUCUCGAUUCCGUGGGUGGUGGUGCAUGGCCGUUCUUAGUUGGUGGAGCGAUUUGUCUGGUUAAUUCUGGUAACGAACGAGAAUCUGGCAUGCUAGCUAACUAGUUAUGCAACCCCAACUUAGAGGCGUCCCCCAACUUAGAGGGACAAGUGGCAUUCAGCCACCCGAGAUUGAGCAAUAAGAGGUCUGUGAUGCCCUUAGAUGUCCAGGGCUGCAUGGCGCUACACUGACUGGCUCAGCGUGUGCCUACCCUACGCUGGCAGGCGGGGGUAACCUGUUGAACCCCAUUUGUGAUGGGGAUCGGGGAUUGCAAUUAUUCCCCAUGAAUGAGGAAUUCCCAAUAAGUGUGGGACAUAAGCUUUCGUUGAUUAAGUCCCUGCCCUUUGUACACUCCACCUGUCGCUACUACCGAUUGGAUGGUUUAGUGAGGCCCUCGGGUGGGCCCCGCCGGGGUGGGCCCACCGCCCUGGUGGAGCACUGAGAAGGCCGUCGAAUUUGACUAUCUAGAGGAAGUAAAAGUCGAACAAGGUUUCCAUAGGUUAACCUGUGGAAGGAUCAUUA
Molecule: non-coding RNA, 1852 nt
Organism: Myotis lucifugus (little brown bat)
Lineage: Eukaryota; Metazoa; Chordata; Mammalia; Chiroptera; Vespertilionidae
Source: Rfam